GCUGGGCAUGGUGGCGCAUGCCUGUAAUCCCAGCUACUUGGGAGGCUGAGGCAGGAGAAUUGCUUGAACCCAGGAGGCAGGGGUUGCAGUGAGCUGAGAUUGUGCCACUGCACUCCAGCCUGGGCAACAAGAGCGAAACUCCGUCUCAA
Molecule: unclassified non-coding RNA, 149 nt
Organism: Papio anubis (olive baboon)
Lineage: Eukaryota; Metazoa; Chordata; Mammalia; Primates; Cercopithecidae
Rfam family: Metazoan signal recognition particle RNA
About the family: The signal recognition particle (SRP) is a universally conserved ribonucleoprotein. It is involved in the co-translational targeting of proteins to membranes. The eukaryotic SRP consists of a 300-nucleotide 7S RNA and six proteins: SRPs 72, 68, 54, 19, 14, and 9.
Source: Ensembl